Long non-coding RNA from Hevea brasiliensis (rubber tree), 725 nucleotides. RefSeq lists it as uncharacterized. The record is from RefSeq and is a predicted model, not a curated record. NCBI's taxonomy places the organism in Eukaryota, Viridiplantae, Streptophyta, Magnoliopsida, Malpighiales, Euphorbiaceae. The transcript is spliced from 3 exons.
ACAUGAAAAUAUAUGUUAAAACAGGAGAAACACAGUGCUGCAGUGACUAAUAUUUAGACUAGAACUUCCUGUGCAAGGGAUAUUAUUCUUGAGCCAAUUUAUUACCAUGGACCAAUGCCCAUACACUUUGUGGAGCAAUGUGCUAUUUCUAGUUUUGUUGAGAUCUCUUCUUUGUCAUGCCCAGAUUCUUUGUGUUAAUGCAGACAGAAUGAAACUAUUUUCUAUCAAGUAGAUUUCCAUUGCCAAAAUCUUAUCUACUAAGUCCAUUCUUAAAUAUCAAAGAAAUCUGAAUGCCUGACAAGGUUUCUAUCUCCUUGUGCUUGCAGAUUCAUUCAUCUUACUUUACUGGCUUUUAACAUCAUUGCUCUGCAAACCUUAUCAACUAUAUUUGGUGGCAGAGUCAUUUUUUGCAAAGAAAGAGAAUACCCAGACUCUCUUAAUUGUUUGAACUCAGAAAGCUUUGCUUAUUGUUGUAGCUGUAGUGGAACAACUGAGUGGUGCACUGGGUGAAUCUGGACUAUUAGUUCUUCCUUGUGUUGCAGCACAUAUUAACCGGAUCAUCAUAGACUUAUUUCUAGUAAACUUUUGGCUUCGAAAGGAUAAGUCGCACAAUCAAAUCAAGAAAUUUGGAAGAAUGCCAUUAUUAGUUGAGAAGCAUCUUUUGUACUGGAAAAAUAUUGUCAUAUAAUUUACAGUUACUAUUACCAUUCAACUGUUUUGAAGAA